This 253-nucleotide ribosomal RNA is filed under the name uncultured bacterium. Its description in RNAcentral is "partial 16S ribosomal RNA". It matches the Rfam family "Bacterial small subunit ribosomal RNA", at positions 524 to 776 of the family's 1533-position model. The record is from RNAcentral.
GACGGAGGUCCCGAGCGUUGUUCGGCAUUAUUGGGCUUAAAGCGCGUGUAGGCGGAACGGUAAGUACCUUGUGAAAUCCCCGGACUCAAUCCGGGAACUGCUCGGUAUACUGCCGAUCUUGAGGCAGGUAGGGGUCACUGGAACCUUAGGUGGAGCGGUGAAAUGCGUAGAUAUCUAAGGGAACGCCUGUGGCGAAAGCGGGUGACUGGGCCUGUCCUGACGCUGAGACGCGAAAGCGUAGGGAGCAAACGGG